GUCUUACACUUGAUCUCUGAAUUCAGGUAAGUUCUUAUGUGGACAGUAUGAAUCACUGAUGCA
Triticum aestivum (bread wheat) is the source of this 63-nucleotide non-coding RNA. The record is from Rfam. NCBI's taxonomy places the organism in Eukaryota, Viridiplantae, Streptophyta, Magnoliopsida, Poales, Poaceae.